ACCGGUCUUCGGUCGAUGGUAUACAAGUAGCUGCGCUCCCCUGCUAGAAUCUCCAAAAAGAGGGUAAGUGUAGAAGAAAGAUAAAACAGUUAUAGGUCUUAGCAGAGAAAUUAGGC
RNAcentral lists this small RNA (116 nucleotides) under Sorex araneus (European shrew). RNAcentral's name for it is "7SK RNA (ENSSARG00000018858.1)". Lineage: Eukaryota; Metazoa; Chordata; Mammalia; Eulipotyphla; Soricidae. The record is from RNAcentral.